This 254-nucleotide ribosomal RNA is filed under the name uncultured bacterium. Its description in RNAcentral is "partial 16S ribosomal RNA". It matches the Rfam family "Bacterial small subunit ribosomal RNA", at positions 524 to 776 of the family's 1533-position model. The record is from RNAcentral.
UAUGGAGGGUGCGAGCGUUGUCCGGAAUCAUUGGGCGUAAAGGGCGCGUAGGUGGCCCGGUCAGUUCGUGGUGAAAGCGCGGGGCUCAACCCUGCGUCGGCCAUGAAUACUGCCGCGGCUGGAGCACUGUAGAGGCAGGCGGAAUUCCGGGUGUAGCGGUGGAAUGCGUAGAGAUCCGGAAGAACACCGGUGGCGAAGGCGGUUCUCUGGGCCUUACCUGACGCUGAGGAGCGAAAGCGUGGGGAGCGAACAGG